This 30-nucleotide non-coding RNA is filed under the name Mus musculus (house mouse). Lineage: Eukaryota; Metazoa; Chordata; Mammalia; Rodentia; Muridae. The record is from RNAcentral.
UGGCUGCCUUUUGGAUGAAAUGAUGCCAGC